GGAAUCUACUCUGUCGUGGGGGAUAACGUAGGGAAACUUACGCUAAUACCGCAUACGACCUACGGGUGAAAGCAGGGGAUCUUCGGACCUUGCGCGAUUGAAUGAGCCGAUGUCGGAUUAGCUAGUUGGCGGGGUAAAGGCCCACCAAGGCGACGAUCCGUAGCUGGUCUGAGAGGAUGAUCAGCCACACUGGAACUGAGACACGGUCCAGACUCCUACGGGAGGCAGCAGUGGGGAAUAUUGGACAAUGGGCGCAAGCCUGAUCCAGCCAUACCGCGUGGGUGAAGAAGGCCUUCGGGUUGUAAAGCCCUUUUGUUGGGAAAGAAAUCCAGCUGGCUAAUACCUGGUUGGGAUGACGGUACCCAAAGAAUAAGCACCGGCUAACUUCGUGCCAGCAGCCGCGGUAAUACGAAGGGUGCAAGCGUUACUCGGAAUUACUGGGCGUAAAGCGUGCGUAGGUGGUCGUUUAACUCCGUUGUGAAAGCCCUGGGCUCACCUGGGAACUGCACGGAUACUGGACGACUAGAGUGUGGU
This 534-nucleotide ribosomal RNA is filed under the name Stenotrophomonas maltophilia. RNAcentral describes it as "bacterial SSU rRNA". It matches the Rfam family "Bacterial small subunit ribosomal RNA", at positions 121 to 652 of the family's 1533-position model. Lineage: Bacteria; Pseudomonadati; Pseudomonadota; Gammaproteobacteria; Lysobacterales; Lysobacteraceae. The record is from RNAcentral.